UAGGGAAUAUUGGUCAAUGGAUGGAAGUCUGAACCAGCCAUGCCGCGUGCAGGAAGACGGCCUUCUGGGUUGUAAACUGCUUUUAUCUGGGGAUAAAAAGGCCUUGCGAGGCAAACUGAAGGUACCAGAUGAAUAAGCCACGGCUAACUACGUGCCAGCAGCCGCGGUAAUACGUAGGUGGCAAGCGUUGUCCGGAUUCAUUGGGUUUAAAGGGUGCGUAGGCGGCUAAUUAAGUCAGUGCUGAAAUAUC
RNAcentral lists this ribosomal RNA (250 nucleotides) under uncultured bacterium. RNAcentral's name for it is "partial 16S ribosomal RNA". It matches the Rfam family "Bacterial small subunit ribosomal RNA", at positions 355 to 603 of the family's 1533-position model. The record is from RNAcentral.